ACUGACGUUCCCACGGAAUGUGCGGUCCUCAUAUUCAUCGGUCGUAGAGGUUAUUCAAGCUGUCUACCUCGUUCUCGCAUUCUAGUGCAAGCUUGGUUAACCUCUGCGUAAGAUGAAUGUGCGGACAAAAUCUAAAAACAUGAUCUAAACCGCGCUCGUUUUACUUAGCCGACAGCAUAACAGCGUCCCUAGAAGGAGAACAAGACAAGGAGAACCACGCCUUAGCUAUCAAAUUCACGGAACCACACGAAGAAAAUACUUUUCAAUGACAUAUAUACUACAGGCAAUCAAAACAACACAAGAGGACCGCGAUCGCACAUUUUUAUUUGUCUUUCCGUGGGAACUCGAAUGUUUCCAGGAGAAACAGAUUUUUACAUUUUUUUCUUUUAAACUUCAGUUACGGGAGUUCCCUCGCAUAGGCAUAUCUGUGUGGUCAGACGUGCAGACGCCCACAGGGAGGGGAAAGCAAAGCACAAUGCCCCCAUUCCUAAACAAAACACCCACACAGAUCCUCACAAGUUCCCAGGGCAUUUGAGAGCAAAUCUGGAAGAAAUGAUGCUUCUAUCCACUGACAUUGAGCACAUUCUGUUCCAGGCCAAGGCUCAUUUCCAGUUUGGAUAGGAAGUUGAAAAAAGCCACAUGGUUUGGCCAACUUCCAAAACCUUGAAUGUGUUUUGAAGAAAAUCAGAUUCCAAGUCCAACAGAGCAAGUUGGGGUCAAACUGGACACAGGAUUGAGGACACAGACCUACUUUUUGUCGAUGCAACAGUUUGGCCACAGCUAGCCAUUUUGUACGAACUUAUCCAUAAUUAUUUUACUAAUUAAUUACUUAACUGCAGUGUCCAACGAAUCAAACAAAAUAAAGUCAAAUCAGACAAGUGGCCGAGGACAAGUCUGAAAGAAACUAGUUUCAAUCCAAUAUGGUGGAAGUCCAGUCGGGCCAACAUCAGGCAAGUAUCGCAGAAUCCAAAUUCAGCACUCCAGCUCAGUGUCAUGACAAGUGUGCAAGGCUGCAGGGCUCUGAAGCUACACAAUGUGCUAAUGAGACCGGACUUCAGACCUCACUCUCAGCCAUGGAUAUCACCACUUAGAAAUUUAACGUAAACAAUGAAUUAAUCAGUGUCUGCAAGUAAAUAUGCGUUUAGGUUAUAUGAAUUAUGUAUUACUUGCAUUGGAAAAGCUUCUUUGGUUGUUUUUCCACCAUGAUUUUAUUAUUUUCUUGAUUUUAAUUUGUUGGUGUAUAUAUAUAUAUAUAUAUAUAUAUAUAUAUAUUUUUUUUUUUUUUUUGCCAUUUCUUCUUUGACGUCUUUUAUACAAUCACGUCCUUAUUGCUAUGCAUUUUGGGUAAUCCCACUGGUUGGCCAGCCCUAGCCACUCUGGACUUGGAACUGGAACGUUCAGUCCACCAGUCUGCAGUCCCUUUGGGAACAACAGACACAUCAUAUGGCUACAGUUUGAUUGCUUUUUGUCAAAAGGUCAAAAGGUUUGAGAUAUGCACAGCCGAAGAUCACAGUGUUUGUUCAAUCACUGCAUUGCCCCCAAAGGGCAAUCUGACAAAAAGUCAGAGUUUUCAGAAAAUUCUAAAUAGUGGCAAAUCCACCAUGGCGGAAGUUAUGGGUCCAUCAGGCAAAUCUGUUCUUCAGCCCCAGCUGCAUCUUCUGAUAGCAGUUUCAUGACCACAUCACAUGGUGUGAAAAAACCAGCCCUUUGAAAAUUGCAGAUUUGCCCUGGUGGUGGCAUUUGAUGCAUGUUCCGGUCAACCUGAAAUUGGGGGAAAGGGAUAAUGGCUUGGCCCUCUAUCAGUAAGCCAAGUUUCAAAAAGUGCAGUUUUUCCACUUCAUUUGUUGGAGGUGUAUGGAAGUGAAGAAUGAAGAGUUAAUGGUUGUCACAUAGUUUUUGUUUUGAUCCUGAAAUAAGUGCAACAAAUGUUGGUGUUAGAGUAUAAAACAAAAAUAAUGUAUGGAAUGUUUUAAAACUGCAGAAGGGGAUAAUAAAUGGGAGUAGUAUUAAAAGAAAAUGACAAGAUGAAGCAAAUCGUGUUUAUGAAAGUGCUUUAUGAGUGGCAAAUAACGUCGUGCGAGUGCACACGAGGGGAAGUCAAAUUCUGCCAGGCAAUCAGAUUUAGGCCCAACAACCCUAAUACGACCGUCUACAUGUACUUGAUAGUACAGUUAAAUUAGCUCCAGUCAAUAGAGUUUACUGGGAGUAUGAUCUUAAAUCGCAUAUUUUCAUUAUUCACUUGCGUGUAAACGCAGCUGUAUCACGACUGGUCCAUGCAUAAAAAGCCAGACUGGUCGUCUCAAGCGUAUUGAGCUACCGCGAGCAAGAAACAUGCGCAAAUUGAUAACUUUGGUUUCAAUGCAGGUCAGCAGCCAUUUCUGC
Anguilla rostrata (American eel) is the source of this 2382-nucleotide long non-coding RNA. RefSeq lists it as uncharacterized. The record is from RefSeq and is a predicted model, not a curated record. Lineage: Eukaryota; Metazoa; Chordata; Actinopteri; Anguilliformes; Anguillidae. The transcript has 4 exons.